AUACGGAGGAUGCGAGCGUUAUCCGGAUUUAUUGGGUUUAAAGGGUGCGUAGGCUGUGCGUUAAGUCAGGGGUGAAAUGCCGUCGCUCAACGACGGAGCUACCCUUGAUACUGGCGUGCUGGAGUACGGAUGCCGUUGGAGGAAUGAGUGGUGUAGCGGUGAAAUGCUUAGAUAUCACUCAGAACACCGAUUGCGAAGGCAUCUGACGAAUCCGUCACUGACGCUGAGGCACGAAAGCGUGGGGAUAGAACAGGAUUAGAUACCCUGGUAUUCCACGCCGUAAACGAUGAUGACUAACCGUCGGCGAUAGACAGCCGGUGGCCAAGCGAAAGCGAUAAGUCAUCCACCUGGGGAGUACGUCGGCAACGAUGAAACUCAAAGGAAUUGACGGGG
This 393-nucleotide ribosomal RNA is filed under the name uncultured bacterium. Its description in RNAcentral is "partial 16S ribosomal RNA". It matches the Rfam family "Bacterial small subunit ribosomal RNA", at positions 523 to 918 of the family's 1533-position model. The record is from RNAcentral.